RNAcentral lists this small nuclear RNA (318 nucleotides) under Jaculus jaculus (lesser Egyptian jerboa). RNAcentral's name for it is "7SK RNA (ENSJJAG00000006903.1)". It matches the Rfam family "7SK RNA". From Rfam's summary of the family: 7SK was discovered as an abundant small nuclear RNA in the mid-70s but a possible function has only recently been suggested. Two independent studies have found that 7SK RNA binds the CDK9/cyclin T complex (known as elongation factor P-TEFb). P-TEFb activates transcription by phosphorylating the C-terminal domain of RNA polymerase II. Lineage: Eukaryota; Metazoa; Chordata; Mammalia; Rodentia; Dipodidae. The record is from Rfam by way of RNAcentral.
GGAUGUGAGGGCGAUCUGGCUGCGACAUCUGUCACCCCACUGAUCGCCAGGGUUGAUUCGGCUGAUCUGGCUGGCUAGGCGGGUGUCCCCUUCCUCCCUCACCGCUCCAUGUGCGUCCCACCUGAAGCUGUGCGCUCGGUGGAAGAGGACGACCUUCCCUGAAUAGAAGAGGACCGGUCUUUGGUCAAGGGUAUAGGAGUAGCUGCACUCCCCUGCUAGAACCUCCAAACAAGCUCUCAUUUCAUGUAAAGAACAAACUGACAUGCAGAAAAACUAAGAAAACCAAUACCAACACCUAGAUCAGAUUGACUGCUUUCU